AAUUUGCCUCGUAAGUGCCAAAGUAUUGAUGAUAUUUUGAAAAAGUUUUGAGCAUUCGCUGGGCCAAUGUUGCACCAUUAACAAAAAGUAUCCUUGAGUAUCCUUCAAAACUAUCAAAACUUAUACUAAAUAAAGGAAAAUUCACAAAGGAAUUUAUUAUAUGUACGUGUGCACCAAAUGAUUGGAGAAUUCGAUAAACAGAUAGAGUAGUAUCUGGUUACAAUAAAAGUAGGUCUAUUGCUAAGAUUGUAACUAUUAAAAAAUAAUUGAUCCAAUAAAUACGUGUAUUCACUUAAAUUAUGUACAACUGAGACUGUAUUAUAUAAUUUAAGAUUGUCAAGUGCUAUUUCCUAUAAAAUCUAUAAUUUAACAUAUUUACAAAUUUGCGCUGUAGGCUCUUAAGUCGGUUGAGAGUAUUGGUCAAAUCAAUCUUGGUAAGGGUUUACUUGUUCUACAAAAAAUAAAAGGGAUGGAUUACUGGUGGGUAUUUGUCGAGUAUCAAGGAUCAGUUAAACGCAAGGAAAACGUAUCAGUAGUGGUUGAGCAGUUGGCAGAGUUGAUAGAACAAGAGCACGACGAUAAGUAGCGGAAUACGCGACUAUUCUUUUACGGACCAAUUAUGACGUAAUAUUAUCAAAGACGGGAGAAGGGCUACUUUCUCUAUAUAUUUAAAGACGGUAAUAAAAGAUCAGAGCGUAUCUUUUGUUCUAAAAGGUAAAACGAUUUCCCGAUAAUGUAUUUAUUAAAAGACGUGUCAACUAAACUAAAGACAUUCUACGAUUUAAUUAAAAUAAGUCAAUACGUUUAAUAAAAGAAGUUGAUACUUA
Anthonomus grandis grandis is the source of this 827-nucleotide long non-coding RNA. RefSeq lists it as uncharacterized. The transcript is spliced from 2 exons. NCBI's taxonomy places the organism in Eukaryota, Metazoa, Arthropoda, Insecta, Coleoptera, Curculionidae. The record is from RefSeq and is a predicted model, not a curated record.